GGGGUGACUGCGUACCUUUUGUAUAAUGGGUCAGCGACUUAUAUUCUGUAGCAAGGUUAACCGCAUAGGGGAGCCGAAGGGAAACCGAGUCUUAAUUGGGCGCUAAGUUGCAGGGUAUAGACCCGAAACCCGGUGAUCUAGCCAUGGGCAGGUUGAAGGUUGGGUAACACUAACUGGAGGACCGAACCGACUAAUGUUGAAAAAUUAGCGGAUGACCUGUGGCU
RNAcentral lists this ribosomal RNA (224 nucleotides) under Pantoea sp. ICBG 1758. RNAcentral describes it as "partial 23S ribosomal RNA". It matches the Rfam family "Bacterial large subunit ribosomal RNA", at positions 590 to 816 of the family's 2925-position model. Lineage: Bacteria; Pseudomonadati; Pseudomonadota; Gammaproteobacteria; Enterobacterales; Erwiniaceae. The record is from RNAcentral.